AGUUCUAUCAACUUCUAAGUAAUAUUUUUUUUCAAUGGAUGCAAUUCUUUGUCCAUUUAGCCAAUAUUUUUCUUUGACAAUAGCUUCAAAAGUCGUAGGAUCACAUUUUAUAAAUAAGGCAAAGUGUAGGCAAAGUGUAUUAGUGCGUUUUCAAGAUCAUUAGCUUCUGUUGACUCAUAAUCUAACAUCUAGUGUAGGCUUUUUUCUAACACAUUGAAAAUGCAAAUUUGUUGUAGCUUUAACUUGUUCAUCAAGUUCAUGUGCUGUUAGUGGAGAUUAUAUUGAAAUUCCAUUUAAAGGCUUAUAAGGGGUAGGAAUUAUCAGAGCCGGAAGCUAUGUGACUUUUCUUCAAAUUUUCAAUCAAAAUCUAUUGGAAUUUAUUACUCAACAUCUCUACAUCCAUGUCUUUUCUUCAUAAAAAAAUGACAUUGCGAUUAAUGACAAUUUUCUCAGUGAUAGGAUUAUAUAAUUUUAAAGUGUUUAAAUGAUUACUAACGCCAAGGAAAAUGCACUUUACACCUUUGUAGAAGGCUUAGCAAAAUAUUGACAAUUGUAUAAUUCUUGUGAGUUGAACUCUCCACCAUAGUCUGUGCACGAUAUUUUCAUUUAAGUGUCGACUUCUCUUUCAAUGAGUGCUUUAAACAUUUGACAUGCUAUGGAAGCUUUUGAUUUUAAACCUAAAUAAAAUCGUCAAUAAAUGAGAUAAAAUUGUGUUUAUCUUCAUUUAACAUUGGCUUGAUCAAUUUAUAUAAGUCGAAUGCACUAGCUUCAACACCUUCUUUGCCUUCUUGGAUUUUCCUUUCGGACAACUAUUUCAAUGGUGCUUACUGACAACUUUAUUUUUCACAAAGUUAUGAAGGUUGCUCAAAUUAUAGAAGGCCUACCAUCAUAUUUUUUAAUUGCAAGGUUUUCAAUCCACCAAAACUUAGAUGCUCAUAACGAAAGUGCCAUAGCCAUGUUGUAUUAUUCUAAGUUUGUUACAAAAUAUAAAGUGAGUAGUGUGGUAAAGAUACAAUAGAAACAUUUUGUUUGCCAUCAUUUUCACUUAAGCACUUACACCUAAUUAACUAGCCAACACUGAGAAGGUUAGUUUUUAAAUUAAGAACAAACAGAACAUUCGAGAUAGAAUGAGAACUUCCCUUAGAUUGGAUAACAACCUUUCCUUUCCCCAUGACAAAAACUAUAGAGUCAUCACCAAAUUUAUAGUAUUUUAAAAAGUCUUAUCCAAAUUAAAAAGAAUAGAUUUACCCCUGCACACAUGAUUACCACAACUGGAAUUUAAAUACCAUACAUUCUGGUGACUUUCCUCAUUUACAUGACAUAAUAUAAGGAAGGAAAUUCCAUCUUUCCCUUUUUUCGUAAAGCUAGAUCUCACCACGAUUCUUGUUUAAAUUCAUCCAGCACACAGAGUGAGAAUGAAAAUACUUCUAAUAGUGGAAACAUUUAACAUUUGAUUUGUCUUUAUACUUUUAUUUUUGUCCCAUCAAUUCUGAUUAUCAUGAUCCUUUUCUUUUCUUCGAGAAUCAUCAACCUAUUCAUUUGAUUUGUUCUGCCUAUUCUUGUCUUUCUAACCUACUUUACCUCUCCAACUAUUUUGAGAUUUGUUGUUGCUUGUAAUGUUUGUUCUUUCUUAUCCUGCUGGAUUAUUUUCUAGUCAUAGACCAAUAAAGUGCUCUUCAAUUCAUCAAUUAAAAGUGUUGAUGUCUUUUGAUUCCUUAAUUAAACAAUCAAUAUAGUUAAAUUUUACCGUUAGAGAUCAAAGUAUCUUCUUAAUUACGAUGAAGUCUUGGAGCUAUUCGCCAUGAAUUUGUCUAUUGUUUGUGAUUGCCAUUAUCUUUGCAAAGUAUGCUAAGACUGACUUUCUGUUUCAAUUCGUAGAGAUUCAGAUUUAGUUUGAAGUGCUUGGAGGUGUAUCCUUUUCACCGUUGCUAUCCCUUGAUACCUCGUCUUCAAGGAAUCCUGAAUCUAUUUAUUUGGAAGAGUCUUUGUUAAGAUUUGUUUCUAAGAUUGAAUGAUAGAUACUUUAGAACAAGUAAUUCUUGGCUUUGAGAUCCUUUAAUUACUACCGUUCAUACUCUAUUUUAUAAGCAUUAGUCAAAAUAACACUUACUAGUAUUUCUGUAAGUUUAGUAGAAAGAUAACUACAAAUAUUGCUUUUACUUUAAGAAAUUCUUCAAUAACACGCUUUAAUGGUUGUAGUGACCAUCAAAGCAAUGAAUUGUAAGUUGAACAUAAUUCUUAGAGGACCUGAAUUUCUGAUAUCAUAACAUAAGUGAAUAGAAGUAAGUAAAUUACUAAUACUAAGUUUCUCAAUCGCACUUUUCCUAUAAGCUCUGAUACAAUUGUUAUAAGUGAAUAAGAAAUAGAACACUCAAAGUAAAGAUAAACAAACUUAACAAAAAAAUAGGAGCCAUUAUCCAGCAAAUACUACAAUUACUCUUGAAUAACUAUAGUAUACAGAAUAGGUAAACAAAAUCUAACAAGUAAGAUUACUCACAAACUUCCUAAAGACUAAGAGCAUAAAAGCACUUUAUUGACACAAAUAAGAAAUUUUCAACACAUCUUACAAAUAAUGGACCAACCAAAUUCAACCCAACUCACGAACAACCAUAGAAACAAACAACUCUUGACAUGCAAUAGCCCCUUCAUUGUCGUUGCGCUUCAAUAACUAAACCUUUUAAUCUUUUUUAAAGCCUAAACAUCAAAAUCCCACAAAUUGAUUUUGAUUGCAAUAAUGGAGUUGGCAAACAAGCUAAUGAACUUUGCAAUCAAGGUCAUAUACAACAACGUUGUGAUGAUUAGAAACAUUGAACUAGUAUAUGAGAAUCUCAAACAUAAAGAAUUCAUUCCCAAUGAAUAAUCUUCAAUCAAACAACCAUAAGAGAAAAAACCAAAUUUUCAACUAGGUUGGGUUUUCUUUCCCAAAAAUGUUUUAUUUUUAUAGGUUUUUUGUCCGAUUCUCCUUUGAUGGCUUCUCUACUAACUCUCUAUUAAACCUUUCAGUUAGUGGAUCCAUAAUGUUAUCCUUUGACUUUACUUGUCAAUAGAAAUAACUUUAGUAGAGAAUUUGCUAUAUCUAUGACAUAUAUAUCUAACUUAUUAUUAUAUUACAAAGCUUGCAUACAAAUUUGCUACUUAGGCUUUGAUAUAAUCAAUAGUUUUAGUCCUAUCCACCUUUUUCAGUGAGUUUAUGAAAACUUUAGCAUAAUAUCUCCCUACAUUCAUAAGAACAUGUUAGAAAAGUUCCAUUUUUUCUACAAUUCAUAUUGGGUAGUUGCUGCUUUCUUUUGGGCGAAUAACUUUAUAGCUUUGACCAUGUUUAACAUUUACCUUUUCCAUUGAUAUGAUCAUUUUGUUUCCUUCUUCAAGUUGAAGUCAAGCAAUUAGAUUUUCAUUAUUUUCUUCCUAUUGCUUGUGUUUAAGGUAAUUUUUGAAAUCUUUCCAUCUAAGUGGUAGCUUCUCAACAACCAAUUGGAAAGUUCCACUCAAAUUCAUCUUCUUGGCAUGAAUAUAUGACAAGUAAUUAUAAUUCUCAAACUUUACCUAUCAUAGUUUGAGACUUCAAUAUUCCAUAAGCUAAGAAGUGGCUUAUGAUAAAUUUCUUAGUGCCAACAUCCUUGUUUUUAUAUUUUUUUAUACUAUUCACAUUGUACAAAAAUUGGUCAAAUUAUGCUGUCAUAAUUUUCAAUAUCCAAAUCGUUGUUGCCAUAUUGAAAGCUUGCCAGAAAAAUCUAAAGGAAAACACCUUUGCUAGUUUAUCGGUGGCAUUUGUUGUACACUUUGUUAUUAGUAGAAAUAGUGACUUUUGUCAAAUUGCCGCCAUCAACUCGAGCAUUACAUUGGCACACCAAUUGUGACAUGACUUAGGUUGUUCCUCUCAUUAUCUUGCCACCAUGAUUUUAAGGGCAACAGAUGAAUAAAUUCCAAAGACAGCCAAGUUAUAUGCAAAAACACACUGGUUAGGUUCCUAAGAAAGAAUGGAUGUGUCACAAAUGGUCGUACUUAAAACUUGAACUCCUUAGGCAGUGUAUAGCCUUUGUGAUAGAACUUUCUUUUUUUUACACAUAGAAGCAUCUUGUUAGAUAAUACAACAUGUUUACCCCACCUUUGAAAUUGUUUCUAUUGAAUUUUUUGGAUUUUCUCAUAUAUUAACUGUAUCAACACAAUUGGAUUUGUAUAAUCCUCCAUGAAUCUUCCAGGUUUAAAUUAUUCAUGUUUCAAAUAGUAAUUUUGUCUAAUUAACAUAAAUAAUAUGUUAACUCACAAUGUUCAAACCAAUAAAAUUAAACUUUAUUGAUAUUUAGUUUGACAUUCAAUAAUUCGAGCUUAAACAAAUAUUUAGCUCUUCUAUUUUAUUGACAAAAUUAUAUUUCAUACUAUUUUAUCUAGAGUUCGAUACCAUUAUCUUGUGACACUUUCUUGUUUAAUAUGUCUUUAGAGUUCCAUUGCUACCCACUUUUGAAGGUCCUCACUAGACACUAUAGUGCACAAUGCACCCUUUGGCAUAUAAAGCAUUCUUCAUUGCUCGCAUUUAGUCCUUAACCAACAUUUUCUUGUGCAAAAUGUUCCUUGUAUAUUUUGUACAAGUCUCGCAACCUUCCUAGGUAUAGACAUCCAUUACCUUCUUAUUUUCCUUGACACACAACACAUUGUGCACUUCACCUUACCAAAAUUUCUUUUGGCUUGAAUAGCUUCAACCUUUGCCGUAAUGUUGUGAAAAUUUUAUUGAACUCACAUGUGCACAAAUCUAUUGUAGAAUAUAUUAAUUGUGAUAAGUGAGGAGGUGAAUUUUAAUUAUGUGUAGAGUUAAUUUUCUAAGUGGGUGAUUGGAUUUAUAGUAGAAGUGAUUUAGAUUAUCCUAAAAUUUAAAUUAAAAUGGCGGGAAUAAAUUGAAGUGAAAUCUAUUUAAAUGAAGUGCUUGGGUAUCUGGAUCUACAUCAACAUGCAUCAUGAGCUUAAUAUUCCUUAUUAGUGCCAAUUAAAUCAUGAAGGGGGUUUCCUCUCAUAAACCACACUCUAAUCAAUAUGGUGUUAAGAGCUUAUCGUGCCAAAUAGUAAAAACCUUGUACUAGGGAGCCGGUUAUACCAAUGUGGUAUCUAUAUAAGAUUAUUACUAUCUGUCGAUGAAAAGUCAAAAUAUCCACAAAAAUCAGAGGGGAAGAGAAAGUAAAUUUACCAAAUAAAGCCCAUGGAACAUGUUGAAACUUCACAUUCAACCCAAGUUUGAAAGAAAAUUAGCUACUCAUAAUUGAACUAGGGGUAAAAUGAGAAUUUAUUAAAAUACGUAGAAAAUACAAGAUUGAGAAGGAAUUACAGAAAAUAGAGCUAAAAAUUUAAUUCAGGGGUGUCGAAUUAAGGGGGGAGAACUCCCUUUUUAUAAAUACAAUGAGUAAAUCAUGGCUAUCAAAUUAAAACAAUUUGGACGCUCAGGAUUACACCACGUGGCAAGUUCUGAUUGGAUAGAACACAACAUCAGGGUUGCUAUUCCGUGUAUAUGCAUGUACCGUACGCACAUUUUUGGUCCACUAACAUACUGCCACGUCAUCGGUCAACACCACAUUAAUAUUUUAGUCCAAUAGGAUCAUGACACAUCAUUGGUCAACGCUAACUCAUUAGUCAAUGCCACAUAAGCAGUCAAUGCCACAUCAUUCGUCCAAUCGAAUGCUGCUACAUCAUUGGUCCAAUCGAAUGCUGCUACAUCAUUGGUUAGUGUCACGUCAUCGGUCAAUGCCAUGUCAUCGGAUUGUAUAUAUGAACAGUGUCGUGAACAUUACCAUGUCCAGUACCGUACAUAUGAAUAAUAUUGUACAUGUGAACAAUAUUGUUUACCCUUUUAUGCUCAUUCUAAGGUUUCGACUGUCCUAAGUCCAAAAUUGCUGUCCGUUUUGGUCUCUAAUCUUUCGUUGAUUGUGAAAUGACCAUGAUGCCCCUAAAAUACAUAAAAUAUUUAAUUCAAAUAAAACACACAUAAUUAAAUCACAAGGGACUUAAAUAUAUAAAAGUAGGGAUGUUAGUGAGACUUGAAGUGUAAAAUGAUGAUUUUCUCCUUCAUAAAUAUACAUUUUCUAACACUCAAAACAUGGCUUCUCUAAGUUCAUGGACUUCUUGGCAAAGUUUUAUGAAACUUGCCGAUGGCUAGAUGAACUCAUCAUCUGCAUUUAGCCAAUUAAUCCUCUAAUAUUACAACAUUGGCUUUACUCAUCCUAAUUUUAGUUUGUGAUUUUAGAAUCUGAUUCUGUUUUAAGUUUUAAGGAAAUUCCAUUAUAUAC
RNAcentral lists this long non-coding RNA (6269 nucleotides) under Citrus x clementina. Its description in RNAcentral is "Citrus clementina (C. clementina) long non-coding RNA (CCLE_LNC002693)". Lineage: Eukaryota; Viridiplantae; Streptophyta; Magnoliopsida; Sapindales; Rutaceae. The record is from RNAcentral.